UACGGGGGGGGCAAGCGUUGUUCGGAAUUACUGGGCGUAAAGGGCUCGUAGGCGGCCAACUAAGUCAGACGUGAAAUCCCUCGGCUUAACCGGGGAACUGCGUCUGAUACUGGAUGGCUUGAGUUCGGGAGAGGGAUGCGGAAUUCCAGGUGUAGCGGUGAAAUGCGUAGAUAUCUGGAGGAACACCCGUAGCGAAGGCGGCGCUCUGGGCCGGUACUGACGCUGAGGAGCGAAAGCGUGGGGAGCAAACAGG
Molecule: ribosomal RNA, 253 nt
Filed under: uncultured bacterium
Lineage: Bacteria
Description: partial 16S ribosomal RNA
Rfam family: Bacterial small subunit ribosomal RNA
Source: RNAcentral